GCAGUGGUGGUUCAAUGGUUAAGACUCCGGGUUACUGAGCAGGUGGUUAGAGGUUUGAGCCCUGGCCCUGCC
Non-coding RNA from Pangasius djambal, 72 nucleotides. Lineage: Eukaryota; Metazoa; Chordata; Actinopteri; Siluriformes; Pangasiidae. The record is from the annotation of a GenBank genome assembly.